AUUUUGACAGAGACUUCGGUUGAAGUUGUUAUAAUCCUAGUGGCGGACGGGUGAGUAACGCGUGGGUAACCUGCCUCACACUGGGGGAUAACAGUCAGAAAUGACUGCUAAUACCGCAUAAGCGCACGGGAUUGCAUGAUCCAGUGUGAAAAACUCCGGUGGUGUGAGAUGGACCCGCGUUGGAUUAGCCAGUUGGCAGGGUAACGGCCUACCAAAGCGACGAUCCAUAGCCGGCCUGAGAGGGUGGACGGCCACAUUGGGACUGAGACACGGCCCAGACUCCUACGGGAGGCAGCAGUGGGGAAUAUUGCACAAUGGGGGAAACCCUGAUGCAGCGACGCCGCGUGAAGGAAGAAGUAUCUCGGUAUGUAAACUUCUAUCAGCAGGGAAGAAAAUGACGGUACCUGACUAAGAAGCCCCGGCUAACUACGUGCCAGCAGCCGCGGUAAUACGUAGGGGGCAAGCGUUAUCCGGAUUUACUGGGUGUAAAGGGAGCGUAGACGGAGCAGCAAGUCUGAUGUGAAAGGCGGGGGCUCAACCCCCGGGCUGCAUUGGAAACUGUUGAUCUUGAGUACCGGAGAGGUAAGCGGAAUUCCUAGUGUAGCGGUGAAAUGCGUAGAUAUUAGGAGGAACACCAGUGGCGAAGGCGGCUUACUGGACGGUAA
Molecule: ribosomal RNA, 665 nt
Filed under: uncultured Lachnospiraceae bacterium
Lineage: Bacteria; Bacillati; Bacillota; Clostridia; Lachnospirales; Lachnospiraceae
Description: bacterial SSU rRNA
Rfam family: Bacterial small subunit ribosomal RNA
Source: RNAcentral